GACGAACGCUGGCGGCAUGCCUAAUACAUGCAAGUCGAGCGAACAGAUGAAGUGCUUGCACUUCUGACGUUAGCGGCGAACGGGUGAGUAACACGUAAGGAAUCUACCUAUAAGCGGGGGAUAACAUUCGGAAACGGGUGCUAAUACCGCAUAAUAUCUUCUUCCGCAUGGAAGAAGAUUGAAAGACGGCUCUGCUGUCACUUAUAGAUGACCUUGCGGUGCAUUAGUUAGUUGGUGGGGUAAUAGCCUACCAAGACGAUGAUGCAUAGCCGACCUGAGAGGGUGAUCGGCCACAUUGGGACUGAGACACGGCCCAAACUCCUACGGGAGGCAGCAGUAGGGAAUCUUCCGCAAUGGGCGAAAGCCUGACGGAGCAAUGCCGCGUGAGUGAAGAAGGCCUUCGGGUCGUAAAACUCUGUUAUAAGAGAAGAACAAAUUGUAGAGUAACUGCUACAGUCUUGACAGUAUCUUAUCAGAAAGCCACGGCUAACUACGUGCCAGCAGCCGCCGUAA
This 513-nucleotide ribosomal RNA is filed under the name uncultured bacterium. RNAcentral's name for it is "partial 16S ribosomal RNA". It matches the Rfam family "Bacterial small subunit ribosomal RNA", at positions 28 to 523 of the family's 1533-position model. The record is from RNAcentral.